UACAGAGGGUGCGAGCGUUAAUCGGAAUUACUGGGCGUAAAGCGUGCGCAGGCGGCUUUGCAAGACAGAUGUGAAAUCCCCGGGCUUAACCUGGGAACUGCAUUUGUGACUGAAUGGCUGGAGUGCGGCAGAGGGGGAUGGAAUUCCGCGUGUAGCAGUGAAAUGCGUAGAUAUGCGGAGGAACACCGAUGGCGAAGGCAAUCCCCUGGGCCUGCACUGACGCUCAUGCACGAAAGCGUGGGGAGCAAACAGG
This 253-nucleotide ribosomal RNA is filed under the name uncultured bacterium. RNAcentral describes it as "partial 16S ribosomal RNA". It matches the Rfam family "Bacterial small subunit ribosomal RNA", at positions 524 to 776 of the family's 1533-position model. The record is from RNAcentral.